UGCCCGAUCGUCUAGUGGUAGGACGUUGGUUUCUGGCACCAAAAACUGGGGUUCGAAUCCCUGUCGGGCAG
RNAcentral lists this transfer RNA (71 nucleotides) under Candidatus Kaiserbacteria bacterium. Its description in RNAcentral is "tRNA-Gln". It matches the Rfam family "tRNA". From Rfam's summary of the family: Transfer RNA (tRNA) molecules are approximately 80 nucleotides in length. Their secondary structure includes four short double-helical elements and three loops (D, anti-codon, and T loops). RNAcentral also lists the same sequence under 3 other names. Lineage: Bacteria; Candidatus Kaiseribacteriota. The record is from RNAcentral.